RNAcentral lists this long non-coding RNA (1230 nucleotides) under Salmo salar (Atlantic salmon). Its description in RNAcentral is "lncRNA (ENSSSAG00000098441.1)". The record is from RNAcentral. Lineage: Eukaryota; Metazoa; Chordata; Actinopteri; Salmoniformes; Salmonidae.
UGACUCCGUCUUGCUCUUGCUUAGAUAAACAUACACAAAGGGCAUUAGGGAGUCUGAACCCAAUCCCCUCAUAAACUCCCUUUCUGUGGUACGCUCCCCUUUCUCUCCCCUCUUCUCUCCCGCUCCUCGCUCUUCUCUCUCGCUCCUUGCUCCUCUUUCUCUCUCUCUCUUGCGCUAUUUCUCCCCCCCUCUCUUUCCUCUCCUUUCAUGUUUGUCAUCCUCUCUGUCAUAUCUCUGGCAGAGCCUGUAGCCUCUGAUUCAGAAAGUGAUUUCGUUUUUAAAAUUCAAGGAAUGUAAGCUGCCCAGUGGCCAUUUUCAAGGUCCUAUUUAUGCAAGAAUUAUUAUAUAUAUUUUUUUUCUCCACUUUUUGCCCCUCCCCCGCACAUAUUUAAAAAGUAGAAGGAAAUGACUUGAAACAGCAUACAAAAAUUAGGGAAAUUAGGAGUUGAUUGACAGGAGCAAGGAGAAAGCUCUCCAUUGAAACCUGUAGAUUUCUGUAAACAAAGCCUGGUGAACAAGGCCUGUUGUUUUAAGCAUAGCUGACGUUGCCAAACUUAGAUUGUUUGUUGCUGACCCCGUAUGAAAAAGAGAGCGCGAGUGGUGGGGAAACAAAAGUGUGAAAGGCCCGGCGCCCGGCGGCCUGUUGCCGUGGUUGUGGAUAUGUUAGCUCUCAGACAAAAACACAAUCCUGUUUUUCUGUGGGCUAGUCUCCUCAACUAGUUGUUUCAAAUGAAAAAAUGUCUGUUUGUUAAUAACACUUUGCAUUAGGUUACCAGUUAUGCAGGGUUUGUAAGUAAGCUAAUGAAUUAGGCUACUUUGCUUUGGACUAACAGAGGGACAGCAGGUGGACUAGCGGUUGCUAGUUCGAAUCACCGAGCCGACAAGGUGAAAAAUCCUUGAACAAAGCAGUUAACCCCCCAACAACAUCAGCUCUCUCAGGCACCCGAUGUGGCAGCCCCUCGCACCCCUCCCAUUCAGAGGGCUUGAGCUAAGGUACCCAGUGUGGCAGGCCCUCACACCCCUCCCAUUCAGAGGGCUUGAGCUAAGGUACCCAGUGUGGCAGGCCCUCACACCCCUCCCAUUCAGAGGGCUUGAGCUAAGGUACCCAGUGUGGCAGCCCCUCGCACCCCUCCCAUUCAGAGGGCUUGAGCUAAGGUACCCAGUGUGGCAGCCCCUCGCACCCCUCCCAUUCAGAGGGCUUGAGCUAAGGUACCCAGUGUGGCAGUCCCU